Molecule: ribosomal RNA, 326 nt
Filed under: Compsophis infralineatus
Lineage: Eukaryota; Metazoa; Chordata; Lepidosauria; Squamata
Description: partial 12S ribosomal RNA
Source: RNAcentral
UAAAAACUUAAAACUUAAAAGACUUGACGGUACUUCACACCAACCUAGAGGAGCCUGUCUAUUAACCGAUAAUCCACGAUCAACCCAACCUUUUCUAGCCAACAGUCUAUAUACCGCCGUCGCCAGCUUACCCUGUGAAAGAAACAAAGUAAGCCGAACAGCACCACACUAAUACGACAGGUCGAGGUGUAACUAAUGAAAAGGCCAAGAUGGGCUACAUUCCUUAAAUCAAGAAACGGAUAAACUAUGAAACUAGAAAUUAAAGACGGAUUUAGCAGUAAGUUAAGAACAUAAUACUCAACCGAAACCAAUGCAAUGAAGUGCGU